UACGGAGGGGGCUAGCGUUGUUCGGAAUUACUGGGCUUAAAGCGCAUGUAGGCGGCUUCGCAAGUCAGAGGUGAAAGCCCGGGGCUCAACCCCGGAACUGCCUUUGAGACUGCGUCGCUCGAAUCCGGGAGAGGCGGCUGGAAUGUGGCAUGUAGAGGUGAAAUUCGUAGAUAUUUGGCAGAACACCAAUGGCGAAGGCGGGCCGCUGGACCGGCAUUGACGCUGAGGUGCGAAAGCGUGGGGAGCAAACAGG
This 253-nucleotide ribosomal RNA is filed under the name uncultured bacterium. RNAcentral's name for it is "partial 16S ribosomal RNA". It matches the Rfam family "Bacterial small subunit ribosomal RNA", at positions 524 to 776 of the family's 1533-position model. The record is from RNAcentral.